RNAcentral lists this unclassified non-coding RNA (211 nucleotides) under soil metagenome. RNAcentral describes it as "partial contains 5.8S ribosomal RNA, internal transcribed spacer 2, and large subunit ribosomal RNA". The record is from RNAcentral.
AACAAGGCGUACCUGCGGACCUGCGGAGGGAUCAUUACAGGACUCGCAAGACUCCUUAAACCCCUGUGAACUUACUGUUUAUACGUUGCUUCGGCGGGUGCUCCGGGGUCCGCCCCGGGGCGCUGCGCCCGCCGGCAGCCUACUUAAUUCUGUUUCUCUGCGUUGGCAUCUCGAGUAAGCAAAAUAAGUUAAAACUUUCAACAACGGAUCU